RNAcentral lists this small RNA (587 nucleotides) under Arabidopsis thaliana (thale cress). RNAcentral describes it as "ATSL278800". The record is from RNAcentral. Lineage: Eukaryota; Viridiplantae; Streptophyta; Magnoliopsida; Brassicales; Brassicaceae.
AAGAAAUUUAGUUAUAUUUGAAUAUAUUUUACUAAAUUUUGACAAACAUAACAAAUGAUUUUUGAAUAGUUUAGUUGUUUUGGAUAUUUAGGUCCAACAUUAAUUGACAUAUUUAAAUUUUUUUUUUUUUUUGUCAACCGAUAUAAAUUAAAACUCAAAAGAGCCAAUCCCGAGGGAUAUUGUUUACAUACGUGACAUGAUGCGGUACGGUACGAAUCUUUCGUGCCAACUUAUCCGCUUUUACAUUUGCACUACGAGAAAUUAAAGAUAAAGAGAAAUUUGUGAAUUCUUCCCUAUCACUCUGCAACUCCUCCAAAUACACUGAAAACGCCGGCCAUUCGGUUGGAGAAGACACCAUCUUCACCAAGUCUGAACAGUCUGUAAAGAAAGCUACGUUCUGGUUAUCUGCUCCAAUCAUGCACUUCAUCGCCCAAAGAAGAGCUUCCAUUUCGGUAUGUAGAGGAGAUAGACUUCUACGAACGUUGGCGGCUCCCAUGGUUGGCGACUCUCCAAGAGAUGAUAGACAGAACGUUGGAGACAUAUUUAGAUUUAUAAUUAUAAUCUUAGAUAAUUAGAUUAUAUUAAGA